GAUAAACGCUGGCGGCGUGCCUAACACAUGCAAGUCGAACGCCCUGGAGCAAUUCAGGGAGUGGCGGACGGGUGAGGAACACGUGGGUGAUCUACCUUGAGGUGAGGAAUACCGGCGAGAAAUCGCCGACAAUACCGCAUAGGUUCGUAAGAACAAAGUCGCAAGACGCCUUGAGAUGAGCCUGCGUCCGAUUAGCCAGUUGGUGGGGUAAUGGCCUACCAAAGCAGCGANCGGUAGCUGGUCUGAGAGGACGAUCAGCCACACUGGGAUUGAGAACGGCCCAGACUCCUACGGGAGGCAGCAGUGGGGAAUCUUGCGCAAUGCGCGAAAGCGUGACGCAGCAACGCCGCGU
This 352-nucleotide ribosomal RNA is filed under the name uncultured bacterium. Its description in RNAcentral is "bacterial SSU rRNA". It matches the Rfam family "Bacterial small subunit ribosomal RNA", at positions 28 to 402 of the family's 1533-position model. The record is from RNAcentral.